CGUCUUUGGUCCCUCCCUCCGCCACACACUCGAUUGUCUAACAGGAGGCUCUGGUGGGAGCUGAAGGCAGGGAGAACAGUCCUGUCCUUCAGCCUUUGUGCCCCUGGAGACGAAGUCCGAGACGAACACUGCCAUCUCGGGUAAAUGAAACGCUACCCGACUCAGAACCCCCUAAUGCCUUUGUGCAGCCUUUCGCUCUGCCCCCGUGCCUGAGGCGAUGUCCGCAGCCCACCCGACGGGAUUCUAAUAUACUCCACUGCAGAGAUUGCCUCUCAAGCAUUACUGCACAGGGCAGCAGGCUGGAAACCCUGUGAAAACUCGGGAUCGGAGCUGGAGAGAUGAUAAAGGUGACUGCGUCACAGACCUGCUGUCCUGAGUGAGAGCCACAGGGCCCACAGAAAACAUGGAUGUAAAGAACCAACUCCACAAAGUUGGCUUCCAUUGAAACAUAAUGUACCCUGGCAGUCCCAUCUACCCACAGGACUGAGGACCGCUCUUCCAUUUAUUAGCAGGGUUAACACCCUCACUAGGCUAUCUUACAGACUCUAGAAAUCUUUUCAGGAAUGAGUAUAAGCAAAACUCAAGCACCUUUAUGGAAAAUAUAAUACAGACUAUUCACUAAAUAAACUUUCUACCUUGACGGAGCA
Molecule: long non-coding RNA, 647 nt
Organism: Mus musculus (house mouse)
Lineage: Eukaryota; Metazoa; Chordata; Mammalia; Rodentia; Muridae
Product: predicted gene, 30322
Exons: 3
Source: RefSeq, a predicted model, not a curated record